UACGUAGGGUGCAAGCGUUGUCCGGAAUCACUGGGCGUAAAGGGAGCGUAGGCGGGUUUCUAAGUCAGGUGUUUAAUCCCGGGGGCCCAACCCCGGACAGGCACUUGAAACUGGGAAUCUUGAAUAGUGGAGAGGUCAGUGGAAUUGGGGGUGUAGCGGUGGAAUGCGUAGAGAUCCCCAAGAACACCAGUUGCGAAGGCGGCUGACUGGACACAUAUUGACGCUGAGGCUCGAAAGCAUGGGGAGCAAACAGG
RNAcentral lists this ribosomal RNA (254 nucleotides) under uncultured bacterium. Its description in RNAcentral is "partial 16S ribosomal RNA". It matches the Rfam family "Bacterial small subunit ribosomal RNA", at positions 524 to 776 of the family's 1533-position model. The record is from RNAcentral.